CGGGAUGUGGCUCAGUUUGGCUAGAGCGCGUCGUUCGGGACGACGAGGCCGCAGGUUCGAAUCCUGUCAUCCCGA
Molecule: transfer RNA, 75 nt
Filed under: Anaerosacchariphilus polymeriproducens
Lineage: Bacteria; Bacillati; Bacillota; Clostridia; Lachnospirales; Lachnospiraceae
Rfam family: tRNA
About the family: Transfer RNA (tRNA) molecules are approximately 80 nucleotides in length. Their secondary structure includes four short double-helical elements and three loops (D, anti-codon, and T loops).
Source: Rfam by way of RNAcentral